UACGAAGGGGGCUAGCGUUGCUCGGAAUGACUGGGCGUAAAGGGCGCGUAGGCGGCUUGUAUAGUCGGAUGUGAAAUUCCUGGGCUUAACCUGGGGGCUGCAUACGAGACGUAUGGGCUUGAGUGCGGAAGAGGGUCGUGGAAUUCCCAGUGUAGAGGUGAAAUUCGUAGAUAUUGGGAAGAACACCGGUGGCGAAGGCGGCGACCUGGUCCGUGACUGACGCUGAGGCGCGAAAGCUAGGGGAGCAAACGGG
This 253-nucleotide ribosomal RNA is filed under the name uncultured bacterium. Its description in RNAcentral is "partial 16S ribosomal RNA". It matches the Rfam family "Bacterial small subunit ribosomal RNA", at positions 524 to 776 of the family's 1533-position model. The record is from RNAcentral.